Molecule: long non-coding RNA, 723 nt
Filed under: Chrysolophus pictus (golden pheasant)
Lineage: Eukaryota; Metazoa; Chordata; Aves; Galliformes; Phasianidae
Description: lncRNA (ENSCPIG00010007756.1)
Source: RNAcentral
AUAUUUUUUAUUAAAAUGUCCGUUUUUCAUCAUUUUUACUAUUUUUUCCUUUUUUAUACUUUUUUUUUUCCUUUUUUUAAUGCCUUUUCUUUUCUCUUCUUCUCUAUUUUCCUUCCUCUUCACUUUUUCCCCCUUUCUUUGCCCGUUUUUUUUUCAUUUAUUCGUUUUCCCCGUUCUGUUUUUAGCACAUUUUCCCUUUUUUAACGUUUCUCCUUUUUUCUUAAUUUUUUUCUUUUUUUCUCAUUUUCAAUUUUUUUCUCCUUUUUUCCUCCUUUUUCCCCCUUUUUUCCUCUUUUUUCCUCCUUCCUCCACUUUUUUCCUCCUUUUUUCCUCCUUUUUCCUCCUUUUUCCUCCUUUUUCCUCCUUUUUUCCUCCUUCCUCCACUUUUUUCCUCUUUUUUUCCUCUUUUUUCUCCAUUUCAUCCUCCUUUUUUCCUCUUUCUCCACUAUUUUCCUCCUUUUUUCCUCCUUUUUCCUCCUUUUUCCUCCUUUUUUCUCCUUUUUCCCCCUUUUUUCCUCCUUUUUUCCUCCUUUUUCCUCCUUUUUCCUCCUUUUUCAUCCUUCCUCCACCUUUUCUCCUCCCUUUCCCCCCCUUUUCCCCCUUUUUUCCCCUUUUUCCCCCUUUUUCCCCCCAUUUCACCUUUUUUUCCACCUUAUUUCCUCCUUUUUUCCUCCUUUUCCCCCCAUUAAUCCUUUUUUGACCAUCGCCAUCCCCAAAACUCAA